UUUAUGGAGAGUUUGAUCCUGGCUCAGAGUGAACGCUGGCGGCGUGCCUAAUACAUGCAAGUCGAACGAUGAAGCUUCUAGCUUGCUAGAGUGCUGAUUAGUGGCGCACGGGUGAGUAACGCAUAGGUCAUGUGCCUCUUAGUUUGGGAUAGCCAUUGGAAACGAUGAUUAAUACCAGAUACUCCCUACGGGGGAAAGAUUUAUCGCUAAGAGAUCAGCCUAUGUCCUAUCAGCUUGUUGGUAAGGUAAUGGCUUACCAAGGCUAUGACGGGUAUCCGGCCUGAGAGGGUGAACGGACACACUGGAACUGAGACACGGUCCAGACUCCUACGGGAGGCAGCAGUAGGGAAUAUUGCUCAAUGGGGGAAACCCUGAAGCAGCAACGCCGCGUGGAGGAUGAAGGUUUUAGGAUUGUAAACUCCUUUUGUUAGAGAAGAUAAUGACGGUAUCUAACGAAUAAGCACCGGCUAACUCCGUGCCAGCAGCCGCGGUAAUACGGAGGGUGCAAGCGUUACUCGGAAUCACUGGGCGUAAAGAGCGCGUAGGCGGGAUAGUCAGUCAGGUGUGAAAUCCUAUGGCUUAACCAUAGAACUGCAUUUGAAACUACUAUUCUAGAGUGUGGGAGAGGUAGGUGGAAUUCUUGGUGUAGGGGUAAAAUCCGUAGAGAUCAAGAGGAAUACUCAUUGCGAAGGCGACCUGCUGGAACAUUACUGACGCUGAUUGCGCGAAAGCGUGGGGAGCAAACAGGAUUAGAUACCCUGGUAGUCCACGCCCUAAACGAUGGAUGCUAGUUGUUGGAGGGCUUAGUCUCUCCAGUAAUGCAGCUAACGCAUUAAGCAUCCCGCCUGGGGAGUACGGUCGCAAGAUUAAAACUCAAAGGAAUAGACGGGGACCCGCACAAGCGGUGGAGCAUGUGGUUUAAUUCGAAGAUACACGAAGAACCUUACCUAGGCUUGACAUUGAGAGAAUCCGCUAGAAAUAGUGGAGUGUCUAGCUUGCUAGACCUUGAAAACAGGUGCUGCACGGCUGUCGUCAGCUCGUGUCGUGAGAUGUUGGGUUAAGUCCCGCAACGAGCGCAACCCCCUUUCUUAGUUGCUAACAGGUUAUGCUGAGAACUCUAAGGAUACUGCCUCCGUAAGGAGGAGGAAGGUGGGGACGACGUCAAGUCAUCAUGGCCCUUACGCCUAGGGCUACACACGUGCUACAAUGGGGUGCACAAAGAGAAGCAAUACUGUGAAGUGGAGCCAAUCUUCAAAACACCUCUCAGUUCGGAUUGUAGGCUGCAACUCGCCUGCAUGAAGCUGGAAUCGCUAGUAAUCGCAAAUCAGCCAUGUUGCGGUGAAUACGUUCCCGGGUCUUGUACUCACCGCCCGUCACACCAUGGGAGUUGUGUUUGCCUUAAGUCAGGAUGCUAAAUUGGCUACUGCCCACGGCACACACAGCGACUGGGGUGAAGUCGUAACAAGGUAACCGUAGGUGAACCUGCGGUUGGAUCACCUCCUUUCUAGA
RNAcentral lists this ribosomal RNA (1509 nucleotides) under Helicobacter pylori. RNAcentral describes it as "bacterial SSU rRNA". It matches the Rfam family "Bacterial small subunit ribosomal RNA". The record is from RNAcentral. Lineage: Bacteria; Pseudomonadati; Campylobacterota; Epsilonproteobacteria; Campylobacterales; Helicobacteraceae.